Molecule: ribosomal RNA, 465 nt
Filed under: Triticum aestivum (bread wheat)
Lineage: Eukaryota; Viridiplantae; Streptophyta; Magnoliopsida; Poales; Poaceae
Description: partial small subunit ribosomal RNA
Source: RNAcentral
AUGCGUUUAAUGUCGCCACCACAUCGAACCCUAUCCCCUUUCCACCAAAUCCCGCAGCCACCGCGAGCCCGCAGCUGCCCUCCUUCAGUCCUCCAUCCUCUCACGCCCCCUCCCGCACAGCCCCCUCCAUGCUUCCUCCUCAUCACCGUAGCCGCCGCAUUCCUCCCUCUUCCUCUUCCUCAUCACCACAGCCGCUCUAGUCGUGGCGAAUCUGACGCCUGCAGGCAGACGCAACAGGAGUUCGUGGAGCGGCGGAUGCAGACGGGGUCGUUGACGGAGCUGCAGGAGCAAGGAGCUCGAGUGCGCCAUGAGGAGUGGAAGGCCGAGUUCGUGCGACGACCAGAGCAACAGGAGCAAGGAGCCUCCUCUCUCUCCCUCUCAGUGGUUGAGGACUUCCUCAAGAAGAAAGAAGAAGGCCAAAUAGAAGAAGAAUUUGGCUCAAAGGUCUUGCGGAGGUGCCUCUGA